UACGAAGGGGGCUAGCGUUGUUCGGAAUUAUUGGGCGUAAAGGGCUCGUAGGCGGUUUGUCGCGUCGGGAGUGAAAACUCAGGGCUUAACCCUGAGCCUGCUUCCGAUACGGGCAGACUAGAGGUAUGCAGGGGAGAAUGGAAUUCCUGGUGUAGCGGUGAAAUGCGCAGAUAUCAGGAGGAACACCAGUGGCGAAGGCGGUUCUCUGGGCAUUACCUGACGCUGAGGAGCGAAAGUCAGGGGAGCGAACGGG
RNAcentral lists this ribosomal RNA (253 nucleotides) under uncultured bacterium. RNAcentral's name for it is "partial 16S ribosomal RNA". It matches the Rfam family "Bacterial small subunit ribosomal RNA", at positions 524 to 776 of the family's 1533-position model. The record is from RNAcentral.